AGAGUUUGAUCCUGGCUCAGGAUGAACGCUAGCGGCAGGCUUAAUACAUGCAAGUCGAGGGGCAACAGGGGUAGCAAUACCUGCUGGCGACCGGCAAACGGGUGCGGAACACGUACAGAACCUUCCUUUAAGCGGGGGAUAGCCCAUAGAGAUGUGGAUUAAUACCCCAUGGUAUUGCUUUGUGGCAUCACAUGGUAAUUAAAGAUUUAUCACUUAAAGAUGGCUGUGCGGCUGAUUAGGUAGUUGGUCGGGGUAAUGGCCCACCAAGCCAACGAUCAGUAACUGGUGUGAGAGCACGACCAGUCACACGGGCACUGAGACACGGGCCCGACUCCUACGGGAGGCAGCAGUAAGGAAUAUUGGUCAAUGGACGCAAGUCUGAACCAGCCAUGCCGCGUGAAGGAUGAAUGCCCUCUGGGUUGUAAACUUCUUUUAUCUGGGAAGAAAUGCCUGUUUUUUAACGGGUUUGACGGUACCAGAGGAAUAAGCACCGGCUAACUCCGUGCCAGCAGCCGCGGUAAUACGGAGGGUGCAAGCGUUAUCCGGAUUCACUGGGUUUAAAGGGUGCGUAGGUGGGUUGGUAAGUCAGUGGUGAAAUCUCCGUGCUUAACAUGGAAACUGCCAUUGAUACUACUGAUCUUGAAUUUUCUGGAGGUAAGCGGAAUAUGUCAUGUAGCGGUGAAAUGCUUAGAUAUGACAUAGAACACCAAUUGCGAAGGCAGCUUACUACAGGGAUAUUGACACUGAGGCACGAAAGCGUGGGGAUCAAACAGGAUUAGAUACCCUGUAGUCCACGCCCCUAAACGAUGGAUACUCG
This 817-nucleotide ribosomal RNA is filed under the name uncultured bacterium. Its description in RNAcentral is "bacterial SSU rRNA". It matches the Rfam family "Bacterial small subunit ribosomal RNA", at positions 8 to 819 of the family's 1533-position model. The record is from RNAcentral.